GUUUGAGACAGGGUUUCAUUAUGUAGUUCAGGCUGGUUUUGAAUUCACUGUGUAGCCCAGGCUAGCCUCAAACUCAUGGCAAUCCUCCUGCCUCAGCCUC
Molecule: microRNA precursor, 100 nt
Filed under: Cavia aperea (Brazilian guinea pig)
Lineage: Eukaryota; Metazoa; Chordata; Mammalia; Rodentia; Caviidae
Description: miRNA (ENSCAPG00000004615.1)
Source: RNAcentral